Molecule: long non-coding RNA, 627 nt
Filed under: Gallus gallus (chicken)
Lineage: Eukaryota; Metazoa; Chordata; Aves; Galliformes; Phasianidae
Description: long non-coding RNA NONGGAT008916
Source: RNAcentral
UUCAUCUGGAUUGGAUAAAAUUGGAAUUGAAGCGAAAUUACAAGAACUCUGUUUGAAGAACUUGAAUGAUUUAUCGUCUUUCAAUUUGAUCAGGAUGGAUAAAGAAAAUAAUUUCAAGCCAACAGGUAACACUUUUCUAAAAAAAAAAUAAAUUUCAGAAGAGAUGUUGGGAUAAUGAACUAUGGAAGUUCACAGCUAUUAUAGUUCACAGCUAUACAGUGAACCUUUAAUACGAGUACUCAGAUGUUAUAGAGAGUAGAAUCUGAAGGAUUCUCUGCCUAGAAUUAUGUGAUUUGUUUUUCCGGCAAAUCAUGGAAGAUCAUUCUCUGAAUCCCUGAACACAACUUCUCUUUUAACGUCGCUGAACAUUUUGUUGCAGAUAGGAGAAAAUUAUAGAACAUUAUCAAAGGCUAAUGGGAUAUAACAAAAUCCAAUGAAGGAGAGGCUUUCUAAGUACCAGUUCUUCUAUACAGUCCUCCUGUAGGAGCGGUUGGCUUCUCAGCAGCUGCAGUUCACAGUCUGAUAUAUUAGCGUGAAUUAAUCUUCACUGAAGAAAACUAAAUGGUGCAUAUUUUUCUGCCUCUGAUGGGGUCAGUAAUAUCCAUCAGACAGCAUAUUGAGUCAGUG